AACAUCGCGCACCUGCGGGAACCUGCGGAGGGAUCAUUAAUGAUUGGUGGCUGUUGCUGACUAGUGUUUCUAGUAUGUGCACGCCACACCUUCAAUCCCGCUUACACCUGUGCACCUUCUGUAAUAGAUCUAUGUGGAUACGGAGAUAUGAAAGUUUGCGCUCUCGUACUCUGUUGAAGCAGUCUACUACGUUUUUUUACACACACACAAUAGUCAUUGAAUGUAUUUUUUAUUCUUAUG
RNAcentral lists this unclassified non-coding RNA (240 nucleotides) under soil metagenome. Its description in RNAcentral is "partial contains 5.8S ribosomal RNA, internal transcribed spacer 2, and large subunit ribosomal RNA". The record is from RNAcentral.